Molecule: long non-coding RNA, 2851 nt
Filed under: Panax ginseng (ginseng)
Lineage: Eukaryota; Viridiplantae; Streptophyta; Magnoliopsida; Apiales; Araliaceae
Description: long non-coding RNA (PGIN_LNC009979)
Source: RNAcentral
UGCCAUUUAGUAUACCAAUAAAACCUACACAAGUACCUGACAGAGGCUCUAUUGUGGCCUAAGCAGAAAAUCAUCCAGUAAGCCUUUUCUUAACAACAUCAUGAAUCCAAGAAUGAUACUUCCCGCAGUAUAAAAUAUAUUUGCGUUUAUCCAUUUCCAGAAAAAAUGAAUCUCAUAAUUUCCGUUGGAAUAAGAUGUAUCAAUAACCUGCAUCAAAAGUUCAAACAAAAAAGGCACAUGAAAUAAUCUAAACAUUGUAGACAAACUAACAUGCACUUUAUUUAUACAUGUUUGUAAUUUAAAACUGAAAAUAGCAUAAAAAAUUUAACCCGUAAUAAAUUACAUUACCAUUAUGAUAAAACAUAACCUCAAGGAUGAAAAGAAUCUGAUAACUGUCUCACAGUUCUACUAAAGAAGUCAUACAGUAACUUUUCACCAAAAGUUAAUUACUAGCCAUAUUCAGUUAAAAGAAGAGUCGGUUAUUUGCAGUAUUCUUUCAUAUUCUGUUCGUAAAAAAACAUUUUCCAUACAUAAAAUCUUGUUUUGAAAUUGAUGCAUAAACCAGCUAUAUGUGCAUCACAUGAUUAAAUUUUUUUAAAAAAGGACAGUAAUUGUUUAACAGAAUACCAAACAAAAUACAAAAAAAAUAAAAAUUAGCUAUGACAUUAUGGUGUAUAGACUAUAGUUUAAACAAACUAGCUGUGAAUUCCCAUCUCAUCAAAAUCAUGUUAGACACCAAAAACCUUUUUACGCAGAAAAUGAAAAGGAAAAAAUAGUAAUUUGGAUCAUUCCAAAUCUAAUUGACGACCUAAUUUACAUAAUAUGUUGUAAUUUUAGGUAUUAAAAUUGGGUAAAAUUAAAUAACACCCCUGAAAAAUUAAAAUAGGGCUGAAGUAAUCUCCAAAAACAAAAUAAUAGCGGAACCCACUACAAAAUUCAGGUUCAUGAAUAAUACCAAUAACGGCAGGACACUAUUUUCAUAAGCAAAAUCACAACUAUACUGUAUCCAUGUUCAUUCUCAUAAAUGAGGAAUAUUUGGUAAAUACUUGGCUCAGUCUUGCUGAUUUUUUGAGAAAUACAUAAAUACAAUUUUGAUCAAAUUAAAUUAAAUACCUGAACGAAUUAAUGCGGGUUGAUCGAAGAGUUUGAUGAAGAACUGAUCGAGCUCAAGAACGCAAGGUUUGGCUGCUCCAUGAGUCUCUGUACCCAGCGAGACAGAGGAAAAUGAAAGUGAAAGGAAAAGAAGACGAGACAGGCCGUAAACGAGCCAAAGCUAGAUUCAAAUAUCCAUCAUUUUUCCUUAAAAUAAAUCCACCGUCCAUAAUACCGUCCAUAGUAUCGAAAUCGAAGACUAGUAUUAAUAAUUAAUAAUAUAAUCUAAUUCUGAUGCUCUUAAAAUUUGAACAAAGUUAUCAACUACUUUAAUAUUCAAACUAUUAUAUAUAUAUAUAUAUAAUUGAGUGAUUCAGUUGAGUGACUUUUUGUCAUACAGUAACAGGGACGCUGAAAUGAUAUGAUUAAAGGGCUCACCUGGUCUUGGAUGAAGCUGUGGAGUUUAUUAGAGGUAAGAAGACUACAUUUUUCCUUAGGGUAUUUGAUGAUAGUGGUACUUUUGUUACUAGAAAAUUAAGCGAUAUAUUUUUCUGUUGUUGAGGAUUUUCUUGAUUAAAAGUAUACUGUUUUGUGUUUCUUGCAGUUCUCAGUUUGCAGUUCUCAAAUAGUACUAGAUGCAACUGAUGCUUUUGAAGAUGUGGGACAUAGUACCAAUGCAAGAGCAAUGGUGGAUGAAUUAUAUGUGGGAUCCCCCUUGUGUAUCCAUUUACAGGGGAACUGUUAAAUUAUGGGUCCUUGAAAUGUUUGAACUUGAUCUGGUUUAUGAGCAUGUCCUUUUUAUACUCUAUCAAUUGCUUUACUUGAUAGUUUUUUUAUGUCAUUGAAAUUUUCAUAUGUAAAAACAUGACUACAUUGUGUUCGCCUUUUGGUAACUGAUACUUCCAAGAAUAAGACACCAUUAGUGGAUCAAGCUUGUAGGGGAGAGCUCUUUGUUGGUUUUCUUGAGCAUCAGAACAACCACAAAAUCAGAAUAUUAAAGUAGUUGAUAACUUUGUUCAAAUUUUAAGAGCAUCAGAAUUAGAUUAUAUUAUUAAUUAUUAAUACUAGUCUUCGAUUUCGAUAUUAUGGACGGUAUUAUGGACGGUGGAUUGCAAAUAGCAGAAUGAAUAGCAGUAAGAGUUCGUCACAAAGAAAAUGCAGUGGCCAAAUAAAAAGGAAGCGAACCUGAUCAAGCUUCCAAUUUGGAGAGAAGAGAGAUGAGAUAAUGCUGUGCUUGCGUCUGAUUUGGAGAGAAGAGAGAACGCAGAACCGAGGGCUUAUGAGUCGCGAUUCUCAGUUUGCCUAAAUCGCAAAUUUGGGGACUAGGGCUUAUUAUUUGGAGAGAGAGAGGAGCGAAUUUGGGGAGAAGCUCGAUUCUCAGAUUUGGGUUUUUUUUAAAAAGACGCGGAAGGAAGGCUGAGUUUUGUCCUUUAAAUAGUUAUGUUAAAGUUAUGCUAUUUAAGACUUAUGGUCUUGAAUAGUAAGAUAAUAGCCAAUUUAAUAUCCGAAAAAAGUGAAAAGUUCAUAGCUAAAAUAAGACAUAAAUGAGAGAAGAACAAGACGGGAUGAAUUUAAUAGGGUAUCACCUGCUGUAAGAAUAAGGAGAUCGGCUUCUAUCUCUUCGGCUUUUGCGGCUAUAUUUGCGUCCCACCGGCGACGGUGACCGUGAAUAUCUCCGCCGGUACGACGGUUACCUUGACAAAUCUCUAUCCCUAUCCCUACCCAUGUAAUCUGCAACUUAAAACAAAUACAAUAUCAC